Molecule: transfer-messenger RNA, 396 nt
Filed under: Patescibacteria group
Lineage: Bacteria
Also listed under: 1 other name
Description: 1-14-0-20-39-34 sp002787355 Standard tmRNA
Rfam family: transfer-messenger RNA
About the family: Bacterial tmRNA, also known as 10Sa RNA or SsrA, is named for its dual tRNA and mRNA-like properties. Its role is to liberate the mRNA from a stalled ribosome.
Source: RNAcentral
GGGGAUGACAGGACUCGAUAGACGGACCAAGUUGCUUAUAUGUGCAUAUCAAGGUGCUCCACUUGUAAAACAGGGCACAUUCUACGUGCAAACGUAACUAGUCGAGUGAAGAAUGCACUUGCUCGCGCAUUUGCUUUCGGAACACUCGCACCUGUUGUAGCGUAAUACACGCCGCAACCAUCACCUCCGUGAUACUCAAUAGCGGUCAGGUGGUGUCAACCUUAUUGAGUGUAGGAUUGUAUUCGUAGUCAGUUGAUGCAGUCUGAAAGUAUAAUUACUGGCAACCUUUUACCUUUUUGCCGUUUUUGGAGGUAGAAGGAUAACAAAACGGCUACGUAUGUAGAACAUAUUUGUAACCCGAUCUAGACCCGGGUUCAAAUCCCGGCAUCUCCACCA